GGGGAUGUAGCUCAGUGGCAGAGCACCUGCCUGGCAUGUGUGAGAUGCUGGGUUCAACCUCCAGCAUCCCAA
This 72-nucleotide transfer RNA is filed under the name Fukomys damarensis (Damara mole-rat). It matches the Rfam family "tRNA". From Rfam's summary of the family: Transfer RNA (tRNA) molecules are approximately 80 nucleotides in length. Their secondary structure includes four short double-helical elements and three loops (D, anti-codon, and T loops). Further hydrogen bonds mediate the characteristic L-shaped molecular structure. tRNAs have two regions of fundamental functional importance: the anti-codon, which is responsible for specific mRNA codon recognition, and the 3' end, to which the tRNAs corresponding amino acid is attached (by aminoacyl-tRNA synthetases). tRNAs cope with the degeneracy of the genetic code in two manners: having more than one tRNA (with a specific anti-codon) for a particular amino acid; and 'wobble' base-pairing, i.e. permitting non-standard base-pairing at the 3rd anti-codon position. Lineage: Eukaryota; Metazoa; Chordata; Mammalia; Rodentia; Bathyergidae. The record is from Rfam by way of RNAcentral.